RNAcentral lists this long non-coding RNA (792 nucleotides) under Fukomys damarensis (Damara mole-rat). Its description in RNAcentral is "lncRNA (ENSFDAG00000029238.1)". Lineage: Eukaryota; Metazoa; Chordata; Mammalia; Rodentia; Bathyergidae. The record is from RNAcentral.
AAUUGCAACUGAUUAUAAAUUAGUGGCUCAACCCAGAAAUCAAGAGCCUUUCAGUUUCUUAGAUAAAGCAUUCUGAGGGCAGACUGAGUCUCCUAAUCCUCUUGUGUGGAUGGAGACAGUCUAGUUAUUGCCAGAACAGUGUUUGCUGAUGUCUUUUCCUUGUGUUCUUCUGCACCUGGCUGGGAUAUAAAGCAGCAGUUACUAGAAUAAGUCCCAGGUAGCAGAAGAAGGUCACUGUAUUAACCAGGAACAAAGAAAGCUAUUUCUGGAGCAGCAAGAAAUUAAAAAUCAGAACACAUGACCCAGAGCUCUCUGUACAGGUUCCUCUCUUUGAAAAUGGGUGCCCAGUGACACAUGUCAGGUGUCUUUUGGAGAGAUUUGAGGAGGAUCCCAGAACUUAACAGCUCUCUGGUAAAUCCCCUCACUUCAUGUUCAGGUGUAACUGAAACCAUGGAAAGUAAAACCCUGGACAAGUGAAUACUACUACGUGCCCCUGUGAGGCUGAACCUCCCCACCUCAGAAAUAUUUCUCAAGUACCUGCAUGUUCUAGAAGGAGAAUUUUUUAAAAGUGGCUUCUUUAGAACAGUCUGAUGGUCUCAGGCUUCUGGAGCAAAGGGAAGGAGAAAAUAAAAAAGCUGAAACACAAGGUUCAUCUGUUCACCUUUCCUUUUGAGGAAAAACAAGUUGAUGGCUGUCUACAAUCAUUGAUCUCCGUUGGGCAAUACUCAGCUGCUGGACUUGCUUGAGGUACUGGAUUUGAGCAGUACGCUCUUGGCAUCUCUUGCUCCUUGG